This is a long non-coding RNA of Pygocentrus nattereri (red-bellied piranha), 133 nucleotides long. RefSeq lists it as uncharacterized. NCBI's taxonomy places the organism in Eukaryota, Metazoa, Chordata, Actinopteri, Characiformes, Serrasalmidae. The transcript has 2 exons. The record is from RefSeq and is a predicted model, not a curated record.
CUCCUCGUCACCAGCAGAUGGCGCAGUUCUACACUGUCCCUCCUCGUCACCAGCAGCAGAUUUACUCCAGGUGGAGCGAGCAAGCAGUGCCUUUCUUUGAAAUUACUGGUGAAUAAAAGUUGUGUGAACCAUU